RNAcentral lists this ribosomal RNA (463 nucleotides) under uncultured bacterium. Its description in RNAcentral is "partial 16S ribosomal RNA". It matches the Rfam family "Bacterial small subunit ribosomal RNA", at positions 28 to 506 of the family's 1533-position model. The record is from RNAcentral.
GACGAACGCUGGCGGCGUGCUUAACACAUGCAAGUCGAACGGUAAGGCCCCAGCUUGCUGGGGUACACGAGUGGCGAACGGGUGAGUAACACGUGGGUGACCUGCCCCGCACUUCGGGAUAAGCCUGGGAAACUGGGUCUAAUACCGGAUAGGACCGCACCGUGAGGGUGUGGUGGAAAGUUUUUCGGUGUGGGAUGGGCCCGCGGCCUAUCAGCUUGUUGGUGGGGUAAUGGCCUACCAAGGCGGCGACGGGUAGCCGGCCUGAGAGGGUGGACGGCCACAUUGGGACUGAGACACGGCCCAGACUCCUACGGGAGGCAGCAGUGGGGAAUAUUGCACAAUGGGCGGAAGCCUGAUGCAGCGACGCCGCGUGGGGGAUGACGGCCUUCGGGUUGUAAACUCCUUUCACCAUCGACGAAGGUUUUCUGACGGUAGAUGGAGUAGAAGCACCGGCUAACUACGU